CCACCUGCAGCGGAUAGCUCACCCACCAAUAAGCAAAUGACACGACCCCUAUUAACCAAUGCCAUCUGCUUCUGUAACCGACACUUGCUUUGCGGUUUUUGGCUUUAUAUACUCUGCACUCCCCUACCCGGGCACUCUCCCCACCAGAGUGUGUCGUGGAGUCCCACGCAUGCUCGGAUAAUAAAACCCCUUGAUUUUUCAUGAGAGCUGGUUCCUUGGGGUCUUCUUUGCGACGGUGAUCUUACAUUUGGAGGCCCCAGCAAGAUCCGCUCCCUCGCCGAAGGAGGCCCCAAUGGCCAUGAAGUGCCUCUCGGGAACACCACUAUGUAAUUGUUAAGUACACUUGAUACCAUUUGGAAGGAAAAACAGGAAAGAUGGAGGAGGCUUCUGUCCAUCAGGGCAGGGAGGCUGGUGCCAGGCGCUCAGACAGCAGAGGUUCCGAUUCUCUAAUGGGAAGCAUGUGUUUCUCCGUGUUCUCUGUAAACACAUGGACCCAGUAACCUCACUGGUCGGCUGGAUGACCCUGACAGGGUUUCUCCACUUGCGGCCCCACUGAAGUUUGGCCCUGAAGGCUCCUUUUGGAGGACUGUCUGAAGCACUGUAGGGUGUCUGACAGCACUCCAGGCUCCUACCAUCACACAUCAGAAGCAUUCUUCCUCCCCAGCAUGAUAAACAAAAAUGUUCCAGACACUACCAAAAGUCCCCUCUGGAGCAAAACUACUUCCAGUGAGAACCUCUGCUCUAGUUUAUUCCCUGGCUCAUGGGACACGGUAACCUGUUCUCCAGAAAGCCUUAAAACAAUGGCCCUAUCAUGGAUGCGCCAACAUGGUCUUGGUAGAUGUCAGAGAAGCUAUUGAGUAAAUACUGCUUAAUUAUCCAAUUUUUAAAAGAAUGGUUCCUUACUUAAAAAUUAUUCAAUUUUUAAGACCAGUUCUUUACCAUCAAACUUACCAGUAACUCAGAAUUCCCUAAGAUUGCCUUUUGGUUUAAUUUCAGCCAAAGUAGGAUGAUGUAUAGGGGAAAGCAUGGUUGUUACUGGCACGCAGUAGGUGCUUAAUAAGGUUUGCUGAAUGAAAGAGCAACUGCUGGAGAAAUCAAGGGAUCAGAGUUAUAGGACCAAUUUGCUCUUUCAAGUGAAUCAUCUCUAAGAUCCUCUCUGGUGCCAAAUUGUUUCUUAGAAAAAAGAAACAUAAAAUUCUGAUGUGAAGAAUCCUGCCACGUGUAAAAUCAAGAAAAUUUUCUUUUGUAGACAGAAUUCAAUUGGAACAAGGACUCAAGGGGGAAAAAUAUUGACAGUGUCAUUUAUUUUGAAGAGAAGAAAUGGUCCAUGGGAUGAAAAGGUCCUUGCUACUCAAGUGUGAUCAGCUAGAGGUUUCUUUGGACAUCUAGGGCUCCACUCCAGGCCUACUAACCCAGCACUUUCAUUUCAGUAGCACCUUCAGUUCUGCAAUUCCCAUGCACAGCCAGGUUUGAGAAGUGCUGUCUAAGAUCCAGGGGCUGCCAACCUCCUUGUGCAGAGCCAGAUGCAUCCUGGAAGACCAAAGCUGCUGCAAUCUGGGAUCAUUUGACCUUUCAGGUCACCUCUUGUUUACUGCACAUUCUUUCUUCUUUUCUCAAGUUGCAUCCCAGCUCCCAAAUGACAAUCAACUCUCCAUCCAGUCAAAACAAAGACAACACAAAUGAUCACCUUUGGAUCCCAGUGGAAAUUUGGAAAGUUUUGCCCUGUGAGAUUUUUAAUGGGGGCAAAGGUGAGAGAAGAUAUGUUCACAAACACAGUCUGGGGGUAGCAGGAAAGGCUCUGGGGCCCAUCCACUGGUUCCUCGGCUUCACAGAUGAAGAAUCCAAGGCUCAGGAGGCAAAGUGACUUCUCCACAUUGCCAAGAGAGGGCUUCUCGCCUAGAUACUCCUUCUCACAACCCUGCGAUGGCCUCCUGUUCCACUGGAGGAGGAUUUUAUUGUUUUCUCAUAUUUAAGCAAUUUAUCUCUUUUCUUUAAAUCUUUGGAACCAUGAGAGAAUGGUUUUCUCUACCAGCAGAAUAACAGCAGCUCCUUUUAGAGAGCAAAGUGUCACUGUGAAAAUACUUAAGAUAAAAUGCCUGGGGUGGGGCCAUGAGACCCUGAGGUCCAGGGGGUGGCAGAAACCAAGGUGACAAAGAGAUAAUGACCAAACUGAGUAGGUUACAUGGAACCAUCUGAUUUUGCUUCUAGAGCUGGCAAGAGAAGAAAAGGACAGAGACGGGAGGCAGGUGGAAGACAGGAGAUGGUGGCAGACCAGAGUGGCUGGGAGGACUGCCGAGAUUGACCUUGAAUCUGAAGUUUACUUUCUGUAAUGUAGGCCUCUUUCUUUUGCCAGCCCUCCUAAAUCUUCAUUGGAAAGCUACAUCUGGGUUUACACCUAGUUUCCUGCCUUUAGAUCUCCCAGUUUAGGUUCCUUUAACCUCCUUUCCAUUCCCAUCAUAUGACAGAAGAAUUUCUCCUCUGUGGCCUCCUAUGUUCGAACGCUGUGCUUUGGCUACAUGGCUGCUGGUGCACCUUCACUUUAAGGGGAUCCUGUUGUCUGGGCCCUGGUUUCUCUACCUGUAGAGUGAGGGUGAUAUAGGAUAAUCUACAAUCUCUUGUGAGGUUUAAACGAAAUGUGGUGACAGUACCUAGUUUAGAACUGGCACAGUAGGGGCUGGAAAAAUGAGGGCCUGCCUGUCAUUCUCCUUGGGGCUGCCUCUGCUUCUCUCCACAGACCUUAGCAAUCUGGCCUUGGGAUCCUUUAUCUCACAUAAUACACUUCUGCACCCACAGAGGAGCUGGGACUCUUUUCCUGUCCUCUUCAAUCCCAUUUCUAUUCACCUGCGAUUCUCAAGUGGUGUUGGAAGCUAGAGUUGUAACUGGGAAAUCACUGCAACAUAUUUAUGUUUUAAUAAUGUUCUGGGGUGAUAGCAAUCAAGACUUCAGAGAUUGCUUAUAAUUGCUACCUCUGUCUCACUCUUUUUUUUUCCCAAAAAAAUGUGCUUGCUCUGGUUAGCAUUUCCUGGUUUGCCUUGGAGGCAAGCUAGGGAAAGCCUUAAGAAUGGAUCAAGGGUUCUGUUCAUUUUAGGAACAGCAAGAGGGGCUGUUGGAGGGAGCCCAUAGCCCAGGCAGGUUGGAUCACAGCCAUAGAUGAAUUGUAAGUGAAAAACAGAUGCAAGCAGGGAUCUGAGCAUCUCCUGAGGACAUAGGUAGUAGGAAGCUCCUGGAAUAAAUGUGGUAGCUCUUGGCCAGAGCAUGCAUCAUGUACUCAUAUAUGUUAACUUGUUUAAUUCUGUUGAAACUUUGGAGGUAGGAAUUACUAUCCCUAUGUCAUUGGGGCCCAGAGGAGGUAACGUGUUGAAAUUCCCCCAGAAGUGGUGCUGGUGGGUUUGAGGGAAGGGCCUUGUGACUCCAAAGCCCAGACUCCUUCUCUUCUGCAGGUCAUACAGUCCUUUAAAACAACAGAAACUCUUCCAACUGAAAGCAUCAUACCACAGUGAUAUAUGUGCACCUAUGUUUAUAGCAGCACAAUUUGUAAUCAUCCGAUCUUGGAAACAACCCAAGUGUCCAUCAACUGAGGAAUGGAUAAAAAAGUUGUGGUAUUUCUAUAUAAUGGAGUAUUACUCAGAUAUAAAGAAGGAUCACAUUAAGAUAUUUAUCAAUAAAUGGGCGCAGCUUGAGACCAUAGUCAUAAGUGAAAUAAAUCAACCUCGCAUGUAUGAAUACUGAAUAGUUUCCCUAAUGUAAGUAAUGAUUCAAAUAUAUAAAAGUAUGUGAUAAUCAUGAUUCCCCCAUUAUGUGGCCUUGAAGCCUUAUAAAGUUUUCACUUAUUAAUUGGAAUGGCUUUAUUCUGGGUUGCUUGAUAUUAUUGCCUGUGAUGAAAUGAACAGCUAUUUCAAAGAAAAUAAGUCAUCGUAAUAGCUAGUGCUGAUUUACUAUCAUCUUGUUUUGAAGCCCUACCAAACUAGGGCUCUUCUGUCUCCAUUGGUUUUAUCAUGAUGUAUCUUGCUGGAUUUUAUUAUAUGUGAUAGUAUAAACAAAAAUUGUUAUAGGCAAAAAGAUAAUAUAGAAACCAUUGUUCGUUUUCUGUUAAAAUACCCGUUCUAAAUACCCUACAGUGCUUUCAUCCACUUGAAUGGUUUUACACUGACUUGAUACGUUUGAAGCUAUAGUAUAUGAAGUUAUAUUCAAACAUUUCAAGGAAAAAGACACCAUGGUAACUACUAGUAAGUCGGGUUAUUUGGUGGUGAAGCACUAGGUUGCUGAAACUGUCAUGCUUUGACCUGUAUUGUUAUGUUGUUAUGUCAUGUUUUAUCUCAAUCUCUGCCUUAUUCAUUAAAAAAAAUUAGUUAUUUUUUAUGAUUUUUUUAAUUAAGGGGAAAAAUCAAAAAAAUUAGCAGGAUAUAUUAUAGUAACUUUUUUGAUUUCCUAUUAACUUGCUUUGAAGUCCUGUAAUACUCCCACUAUCUUGUUUUGACUGAUUAGACUCUGUUCCAUUCUGUAUGAGUAUCAAGUUUGAGGGUAUAGGCAACUACUUUGAAGGCAAUAAGAUUCACUAUGAUGCCCAUUCUGGUUUGACUAUUAUCUUCUUUGGAAGUCCUGUAAUGUUUAUAAGGUUUAGGUUUUAUUGGUCUUAUUCUCUACUGUUUUGUUCAACUUUAUAAUACCUAAUGAGAUAGACAAUUCUUUUUAAGGAAGCAAGAGGCAUUAUGGUAACCAUUGUUGAUAACCUUGUACUCUGUUUUUACAUCAUGUGCUAUGUCUAUUCUUGGUUUUGACUGACAGCUUUGUUUUGCCAUAUUUGACUUUAUUCUCUUCCAAAAAAAAAAGUAAUAAGAACUAAGGAGUAAUAAAACCCAAAAUGUGUAAAUUUUGUUAUAAAAAAGAGAGGAAAAAAAGUGCUCUAAAAGAUACAACUGCAAGUGUGUUUAGGGGCGUUAAAUAGAUGACCAUAUUAAUGUUUUUGAUUGGAUCAUUGAACACAACUGUAUUUAGUCUGUUUGAAUGUUCACUUUGUAUGCUUUGAUACUGCGACUUGAGCAACCAUCUCUAAGAUGAUAAUGUGUAAUCUAUUAACUAGUGAUUUCUUACUUUUUUUUUUGUAGUUCUGUAUUACUUGUACCCUUACACCGCUUUGUUUUGUUUUGUUUUUUUCCUUUUAAAUUAAAAAAAAAAAACAAUGGAAACUCUUCUUUACCUGGAAGAAUAGGCCCUCAUAGGUGGCUGACUGAAGUACAUAUAUAUGCUUGCUUAUAUUUCUGGGGCUGCUUUCUGAUUUUUCCCCAGAACUCUUUCCCAUGCACCCCAUUCCCCAUCCAAGGAAUGAACUGAAUUGUUUCAGCCUUUCCUAUAGCAGCUUCUUUUUACAGCUCCUGGAAGCCCUAUGCAUCACACAUACCCUAUGCACCUAUACCACAACCUUCCUCCCAUAAUGAAUUCCUAGGUCCAAAGCUACUUGCUAAAGUAAUAGAUCUUUUUCUCAUUUGUCUCCCUGGGAAUGGACACUGUUGGUUUAUCAAACUGGGAAAUAUUAUGACUCAAAGAAAAACACCAGGUUCCUCAGGAGACGCUAUUAUCCAACACAAGAGCUUGCUGGUUAGGGCUACCAUCACUAAGACAUUAAAUAAAAGACAAUUCCUCCUUACUUUUUCAUCACCUGUAGAUGCACCUUAUAUGCACAUUUAUUUUACUGAGGAAUAAAAACAUGGUAUUUGAUGCAUUCUCAGAAGGAAGAAAUUUGGCUGAAAUACUUAGGCUCUUUCAUGCAUCUUUUGAACAAUGGCAAAGAACAGGGUUAUCUGUCGAACUCAAUGUGUUCCUUAAUAAUAACUCAGGUGGCAGCCAGAUGAAUAAUGCUCAUGUGGGCAGACUAUUUUCCCUCUUUUGUGACUUUAACCCAAAAGGUACGGCAUUGGCAGAUCUUAUGCAGACACAUGGCUUCUAAGUGACCAUACUUAUGAUAUACACUUGUGUAUAUAAAUAUUUAGGACAUGCAAACCAGUUGAAUAAACACUGAUCCUUCACCUUC
Cavia porcellus (domestic guinea pig) is the source of this 6028-nucleotide long non-coding RNA. RefSeq lists it as uncharacterized. The record is from RefSeq and is a predicted model, not a curated record. NCBI's taxonomy places the organism in Eukaryota, Metazoa, Chordata, Mammalia, Rodentia, Caviidae. The transcript has 6 exons.